Molecule: long non-coding RNA, 219 nt
Filed under: Lathyrus oleraceus (garden pea)
Lineage: Eukaryota; Viridiplantae; Streptophyta; Magnoliopsida; Fabales; Fabaceae
Description: Pisum sativum (pea) long non-coding RNA (PSAT_LNC040579)
Source: RNAcentral
GAAGGAGGAGAAGGAGGAGGGAAGAAAAUAAGAAGAGGAGAAGGAGGAGAGAAGAAAAGAGGAAGAGGAGAAGGAGGGAAAAUGAAGAGCGAUGAAGGGACGAAACUCGCAACAUGUAUGUUCUUGAAAAACUUCAACAUGAUUUUUAUUGCAUUUGAAACCAUUAUGUGAUUCGCAUUCACAAUGUUGAUUAUAUUUUCCAAUUCCAUAGAAAACUAU